AAACCAACAGGGAUUGCCUCAGUAACGGCGAGUGAAGCGGCAAAAGCUCAAAUUUGAAACCCUCGGGAUUGUAAUUUGAAGAUUUGGCAUUGGAGAAAGCUAACCCAAGUUGCUUGGAAUAGUACGUCAUAGAGGGUGACAACCCCGUCUGGCUAACCGUUCUCCAUGUAUUGCCUUAUCAAAGAGUCGAGUUGUUUGGGAAUGCAGCUCAAAGUGGGUGGUAAACUCCAUCUAAAGCUAAAUACUGGUGAGAGACCGAUAGCGAACAAGUACUGUGAAGGAAAGGUGAAAAGAACUUUGAAAAGAGAGUGAAAUAGUAUGUGAAAUUGUUGAUAGGGAAGGAAAUGAGUGGAGAGUGGCCGAGGUUUCAGCCGCCCCUCGUGGGCGGUGUACUGCCGACGCCGAGUCAUCGAUAGCGAGACGAGGGUUACAAAUGGGAGCGCCUUCGGGCGUUCUCCCCUAACCCUCCACACUGCCACCGACGACAUAAUCCACCCAUUUCACCCGUC
Molecule: ribosomal RNA, 509 nt
Filed under: Yarrowia lipolytica
Lineage: Eukaryota; Fungi; Ascomycota; Dipodascomycetes; Dipodascales
Description: partial 26S ribosomal RNA
Rfam family: Eukaryotic large subunit ribosomal RNA
Source: RNAcentral